Non-coding RNA from Rattus norvegicus (Norway rat), 4901 nucleotides. The record is from RefSeq and is a predicted model, not a curated record. NCBI's taxonomy places the organism in Eukaryota, Metazoa, Chordata, Mammalia, Rodentia, Muridae.
GCAAGAGAGAAAGAGAGGAACAAGAGGAAGCAAGAGAGGGAGGAGGGGGCAAGCAGCCCCUUUUAUAGUGUCAGGCAUACCUAGCUGUUGCCGGGUAACUGUGGGGGUGGAGCUAGACAGAAUGCUAACAAAAGCUGCUAUGGCAAGAUGAAACAACCCAGCCUCUGUUCUCCAGCCGUCUCAACACUCAACGCCUAGUCCACUUACAUCCUAUGGUUUCAUCUCUAUUACGGAUGCUCCGGGGAGCACAUUAGUACUGGAAAGACAAUAAAGGUGUGAGCUCGCGACUCAUCUGCCUUCUUUGCUCUUCCAUCAUGGAUUCCAGUCUUCUGCAACCGUUACCUUUCUCUUUUCCCCAUAUUUUAACGAGACUCCAUCCUGUGGACUGGCUAUAGAGGGUAGAGGGGUCAUGACUGCCGCCCACCACCAGCAGGCAGGCAAUCCUGCAGAACCCUGAGCUCCACUUUUGGUCACCACCUCCCCCUGCUGUCCGUCUGAGAUCCUGCAGCUUGGCAUGAAGAUGAAACAGACUGUGUUUGCUAUUCUGAACUAGAGCCGGGACCGAGCCUUUGUAGUUCACAACUACCUGUCCUAAGCUGGGGACCGAACCCAGGGCCUUGCACUUCCUAGGCAAGCGCUCUACCACUGAGCUAAAUCCCCAACCCCUUGAUUCACCUCUUUUAAGAUAGGAUAGACUUUCCAUGUUUUCUGUAUCCUACUCUGGACGUGUUUCCAAGGGAACAGCACUCUUUUCAAUAGCUGAUGCUUCAUGGUCCUUCGGGGUGGAGAAAAGUGACACUCAGCAUUUACUUCCCAUGUAAAUUAAAGUAACUGGAUAGAGCUCACAGAUCAGUGAUAAACUGAUAAGGUUUCUAGAGAGAGACUAGCACUGCAGACUAAUGUCCCUUAUAACUCAAAGCUCAUGCACCGUGGACAUUCUCAUUUCAUUGUCAGUACCGAGCACAGUGCUGCACAAAUCCUGCCUGUCUUUCUGCUUCUACCUUCUGAAUGGAUCACCACACCCUCGAAGACUCCAUAUGUCUGUGUCAUAACCUGAGGGGUGGGACAGAAGUGGCAGCCACAGUGGCAUUAGGGGCCCUACCCAGUUCUGCAGCACCAUAGACCAAAGGAAGGAGUUUCUGGUGGAAGCUGGUAGACCAUGAGCAAAGGGCCUUCCUGUGCCCACCUACUCCAUGUUGGCCCUUAGAGGACCUGGCUGGCAUAUCAUUCACUGUGUCAGGAUGUUCUUUUGAAGUGUCACCUUCUUUGCCUUUUCAUUGCAGUGACAGAAGAGGAUGAUUUACAGAAGUGAGCGACCUGGUUGGAGGAUACCACCCAUCAUAGCAUGGCAGACCUCUUGGUAGCAGGGGCAUGUGCCUAGGACCUUAGACAUCCAGAAGAUCCAGGAAGCUGCAAGAGAGGGGGACCAGGGGAUCAGAAUGCAGAAGGAGAGAGAGAGAGAGAGAGAGAGAGAGAGAGAGAGAGAGAGAGAGAGAGAUAGAUCAGGAAACCAGCCUUUGGUGACCUAUUUCUUUCAGCAAAUGCCUACCUCCAACAGAUUUUACAACCUCCUCUGACCUCCCCUGCCAACUGGAAACCAUGUCUUCAAAGGAGACUGUGGGUAACACGGUGCCCUCAAGCCACAGCGUUUCCUUAUAGAGAAGCAAGCUUUGUUUUCCCUCUAAUCAAGGCAACAGUUUACUUUUGAAGAAUCACCUCAACAUUCUCAUUUGUUUGCCCAUUGUCAGUCUUGCCUCACACAGGGCGGACUGUCUCUUGCCUCUUUGGAAGAGGCUCUGAAGCAGCCAAGCAUACAAAGUCCUGUCUGGCUCCAUAACAAGGCACCAGCAGGCUGCUCUAAUCCAGCUUCUCUGCAACAGCUGUUGGCUUAAGAGCUGGAGUCUUCUAAUCAGGAAAUGUUUUGAUGGUCUUUGAGGGAGAGUUGACAUUACCGAGUCCAGAGAACCACCCUUGGAAUCGUAUCCUUUCAUUUCUCCUCGCUCCAUUUAUGUUUCACAGUGUGAGUAGAACCGCGGUUGACACUGGGAAGUGAGCGGUUGGUUUUAGAAUAGCUGACACCUUUGGAUUGAUUUCUCCAGUCCUGUGCCUUUUGCAGUAGCUUCCCUCCAGGCUCUGUGGGGGUCACAGGAGUAAAUGUGCUUUGCCAGCAACUGUUUUCCUCUUUAAUGAAAGACUGUUUCCCUGAAUCCUCUGGCCUCUGAUCAUUUCCCCCAUCAUCCUGGCUGCCAGAUGACUAUAUAACUGCCCAGCUAGUAGAGGGAUGUGACCAAGAGCAAGAGACCACCAUAUCCUUGUCCCCGAGGAACCAGCAUGUCCCCUUCAUCCCAUGUCCUGUUGGGUCACCGAGUACACCGAGUUCUUACAGUGGCUCAAACUGUGGCUACCUAGCAGAGGAAGCAGAGGUGGGUCACAUGCAGACUGGGAUCCUCUGUGGUGGUUAUUGGCUCAACAAAGAAGGCCAGAUCUUGUUGUCCCCACUCCUUGUUUCCCUUGCUCGUAAACUGAUCAUGGUCUUAUAGCUGAUGGACACCAUUUAAAGUGUAAUUGACUCCAGCGUAGAAGUCCCCAAAGCACCUGGUACACAGGCUAGACCGUGAGAGUUUAUGAGUCACUAUCUGACAGUAUCUAUACCUAGAAUAGAACAAUCAAAGUCAAACACUCGGAAUAAGCCCCCGAGUGCAAUAAGAGGCUGCAAACCAGUGCUGCCUCAAAACCACAGCAGCAAUCCCAGGCCCAGGUCCCCAACUGCCAUCAGCCAUCCUGAAACCCACAGAGCUGGGAUAGAUGAGACCUCUGCUUUCCAAUAACCAGUAUAAGUGACUACAAGUCACAGACGAUAUAAGAAAGCCCACUGUUUGUUUCUGCAAAACUGGCUGCAGUCCAAACCAAGAAGCAAAAUGGUUGCCAUACCCAUCUGGUAGCAGCAGUGGUUUUCGUAGUCUUAAUUCCAAGUUCCUACUUCUCUUCCCCUUUGCCUAGGUCCAUCAGAGAGUUACAGUCUUCCUGUCCAUCUAGGCCAGCUCCACCUAGAACUUCCCCCAACUUCCUGGGGGUCAAUAUUCCUUCCCUUUCCACGUGUAUGGGUUCAGUCACAGAGCAGAGUGCAAGUUUUCAAAUUUAAGGUAAACCAGACACCUAGGCGGGCAGGCAGCAGCUGCCAAGGAGACGGACCCAGCACCUCUUGAUUAUUUGUGACCUGGUAAACUUAAGUCUGAGGCUCCUCUGAUAUUGAAAAUAGGCCUUGUAUGUUUUACCUCAUACACACAUCUAAGUGUAGCAUAUAUAGUAAGUACUGAACAAAACAGCUGAGGACACAGCUGAGACUAGAGAUGGUUUCAUUCUUACUUGACCCAAAACUUCUGAACAGAUACCACACAGUAUUCCUCCCCAAAGGGCAAUGGCAUCCUCCUGCUUCAGGAAGAACAAUGUGCUAGAUGACAAGGGGUUUGCUUUAUCAGAGACAAUCAGUGUCUCCACAGACACAUUUUUAAAAACUCUCUCUCUCUCUCUCUCUCUCUCUCUCUCUCUCUCUCUCUCUCUCAGUGUGUGUGUGUGUGUGUGUGUGUGUGUGUGUGUGUGUUCCUAUCCCACACGAAGUUUCUGAAGGAAAUCUUGCAAGUGAAGACUCCAUCAACAUCACUAGAAAAGGAAGGGAAUAGGAUUGUCCUCAUAUUUCUAGGAGUUCUAAGAUGACUUCCUUGGGACUGAGUGAAAACUCUCACUCACACCAAGCCCAAUGAAUGAGGAAUUUGGCAAAGUCAAGCAUGAGAAAGCACUUCAGUAGUAAGGAGCAAAAAAGUCUCUAGGGCUGAAGCCCAGCUGAGUACUCCCAUUGCAGCCAUCCAAGAUGGUAGACCAUCUUCCCAGGAAGCUUGCUUUCCCUCUGCAGCUCUUUCUGCAUGGUACGUGUGUGUGCAUGUACAUGUGUGCAGGUAUGUGUAUACAAGUAUGUAUGGGCCAGAGGUCAAAACUAAAAGUUUUCUUAAAACACUGUUUAUCAUAAUUUUUGAGACAGUGUCUUUCUCUGAACCCGAGGUUCAGUGAUUUGGUCACUAAGCCUCAAGGGUCCUUAUUUUCUGCCUCCUCGGUACAUAUACCAUCAUGACCAGCCUUUUUCCCUUUUAAGACAAGGUCUCAAAACUGACUGGGCUCAGACACACUGCAUAGGCCAGGAUUGCCUCUGACUGACAGAGAUCCACUUGCUUUUGCACCCCCGUUUCCCUCAGCAAGGGAUUAAAGGUGUGAGCCACCGCCUGGCCAUGCUUGGCUCUUUAAGAUAAGUUUGGGGAGUUGAACUCAGGUCCUCAUAGUUACAUAUAAGCACAUUACUGAAUGAGCCAUCAGACUAAUUCCUGAAUUUCCCUUUGUUUUUGUCUCUGCUGCAAUGUCAUUGAAGGAGAUCAUAAAUCCCCAUGGUCAGAAGACAAGCCACCUUCAGCCCUUUUUCCUCUUCUUGGUGUCUUAGCAUUGCUGCUUCUCAGUAAGAUUGAAUCAUUUUUCUCAUUAUUAUGUAAAAGGUCAGCACAAGCCCAUCAGCUUUCCCAAGCCAGAAAUGAGCUCUCAGCUCCGGAGAUCACAUGACCUGCCUACACAAUGGGGAGGGGCUGUCGGGGGGCUUUGUGGGUAAGCUGCUUCCUCGGACUAUUUCUCACGUGACUGGUAAUUCACCUCCUGCCUCAUUCUUUUCUCUGUUUGUUCUCCACUUGGAUAUGUGUGUGUGUUGUGCAUAUGCACAGUCAUAUGUGUGAGCACAUGUGAGCAGUAGCACAUAUGUCUCCAUGCGUGUGCUUUAUGUGGAGGCCAGAGAUUGACCAUGAGCACCUAGAUUGACCUUGAGUGUGUAUUGUGCUACAAGUCACAGAAAUAAAACUUCAAACUCC